AUUGGCGUAGCUUAAUUGGAUAGAGCCCCUCAGGUUCAAGGUUCGUGCGGCCGACACUGCAUUAUACCGCCGGGGAGGUGCGGGUUCGAGUCCCGUCGUCAAUC
This 104-nucleotide transfer RNA is filed under the name Haliea sp. E1-2-M8. Its description in RNAcentral is "tRNA-OTHER". It matches the Rfam family "tRNA". Rfam says of the family: Transfer RNA (tRNA) molecules are approximately 80 nucleotides in length. Their secondary structure includes four short double-helical elements and three loops (D, anti-codon, and T loops). Further hydrogen bonds mediate the characteristic L-shaped molecular structure. tRNAs have two regions of fundamental functional importance: the anti-codon, which is responsible for specific mRNA codon recognition, and the 3' end, to which the tRNAs corresponding amino acid is attached (by aminoacyl-tRNA synthetases). tRNAs cope with the degeneracy of the genetic code in two manners: having more than one tRNA (with a specific anti-codon) for a particular amino acid; and 'wobble' base-pairing, i.e. permitting non-standard base-pairing at the 3rd anti-codon position. Lineage: Bacteria; Pseudomonadati; Pseudomonadota; Gammaproteobacteria; Cellvibrionales; Halieaceae. The record is from RNAcentral.